Molecule: ribosomal RNA, 301 nt
Filed under: uncultured bacterium
Lineage: Bacteria
Description: partial 16S ribosomal RNA
Rfam family: Bacterial small subunit ribosomal RNA
Source: RNAcentral
CAGCCGCCGCGGGAAUACGAAGGGUGCAAGCGUUAAUCGGAAUUACUGGGCGUAAAGCGUGCGUAGGCGGUUUGUUAAGUCUGCUGUGAAAUCCCCGGGCUCAACCUGGGAAUGGCAGUGGAUACUGGCAAGCUAGAGUGUGUCAGAGGAUGGUGGAAUUCCCGGUGUAGCGGUGAAAUGCGUAGAGAUCGGGAGGAACAUCAGUGGCGAAGGCGGCCAUCUGGGACAACACUGACGCUGAGGUGCGAAAGCGUGGGGAGCAAACAGGAUUAGAUACCCCAGUAGUCCCUGUCUCUUAUAC